UACGUAGGGCGCAAGCGUUGUCCGGAAUCAUUGGGCGUAAAGAGCUCGUAGGUGGUCUGUUACGUCUGCUGUGAAAUCCUAGGGCUUAACCCUGGGCCUGCAGUGGAUACGGGCAGACUAGAGGUAGGUAGGGGAGAAUGGAAUUCCCGGUGUAGCGGUGAAAUGCGCAGAUAUCUGGAGGAACACCGGUGGCGAAGGCGGCAUCCUGGACCGGUAUUGACGCUGAGGCGCGAAAGCCAGGGGAGCAAACGGG
RNAcentral lists this ribosomal RNA (253 nucleotides) under uncultured bacterium. RNAcentral describes it as "partial 16S ribosomal RNA". It matches the Rfam family "Bacterial small subunit ribosomal RNA", at positions 524 to 776 of the family's 1533-position model. The record is from RNAcentral.